GAGCUAUGAUGAUAAUAUAUGUGUUGUUCGGUAACAUCACUUCUCCUGAAACAUUGGAUGAAAAUAAUACCUCUGAGCUC
This is a small nucleolar RNA of Medicago truncatula (barrel medic), 80 nucleotides long. It matches the Rfam family "small nucleolar RNA snoR114". The record is from Rfam. Lineage: Eukaryota; Viridiplantae; Streptophyta; Magnoliopsida; Fabales; Fabaceae.